This 450-nucleotide ribosomal RNA is filed under the name uncultured bacterium. RNAcentral describes it as "partial 16S ribosomal RNA". It matches the Rfam family "Bacterial small subunit ribosomal RNA", at positions 354 to 796 of the family's 1533-position model. The record is from RNAcentral.
GUGGGGAAUUUUGGACAAUGGGCGCAAGCCUGAUCCAGCAAAGCCGCGUGCAGGAAGAAGGCCUUCGGGUUGUAAACUGCUUUUGUACGGAACGAAACGGUCCUGGUUAAUACCUGGGGCUAAUGACGGUACCGUAAGAAUAAGCACCGGCUAACUACGUGCCAGCAGCCGCGGUAAUACGUAGGGUGCGAGCGUUAAUCGGAAUUACUGGGCGUAAAGCGUGCGCAGGCGGUGCUGUAAGACAGGCGUGAAAUCCCCGGGCUCAACCUGGGAAUUGCGCUUGUGACUGCAGUGCUGGAGUACGGCAGAGGGGGAUGGAAUUCCGCGUGUAGCAGUGAAAUGCGUAGAUAUGCGGAGGAACACCGAUGGCGAAGGCAGUCCCCUGGGCCUGUACUGACGCUCAUGCACGAAAGCGUGGGGAGCAAACAGGAUUAGAUACCCGAGUAGUCC